Molecule: ribosomal RNA, 372 nt
Filed under: uncultured bacterium
Lineage: Bacteria
Description: bacterial SSU rRNA
Rfam family: Bacterial small subunit ribosomal RNA
Source: RNAcentral
GGAGGGUGCAAGCGUUAAUCGGAAUUACUGGGCGUAAAGCGCACGCAGGCGGUCUGUCAAGUCGGAUGUGAAAUCCCCGGGCUCAACCUGGGAACUGCAUUCGAAACUGGCAGGCUAGAGUCUUGUAGAGGGGGGUAGAAUUCCAGGUGUAGCGGUGAAAUGCGUAGAGAUCUGGAGGAAUACCGGUGGCGAAGGCGGCCCCCUGGACAAAGACUGACGCUCAGGUGCGAAAGCGUGGGGAGCAAACAGGAUUAGAUACCCUGGUAGUCCACGCCGUAAACGAUGUCGACUUGGAGGUUGUGCCCUUGAGGCGUGGCUUCCGGAGCUAACGCGUUAAGUCGACCGCCUGGGGAGUACGGCCGCAAGGUUAAA